RNAcentral lists this ribosomal RNA (477 nucleotides) under Clostridioides difficile. RNAcentral's name for it is "partial 23S ribosomal RNA". It matches the Rfam family "Bacterial large subunit ribosomal RNA", at positions 751 to 1235 of the family's 2925-position model. Lineage: Bacteria; Bacillati; Bacillota; Clostridia; Peptostreptococcales; Peptostreptococcaceae. The record is from RNAcentral.
CGAAAGUAAAAUUUCGUGGAGGUCCGAACCCACGAGCGUUGAAAAGCUCGGGGAUGACUUGUGGGUAGCGGUGAAAUUCCAAUCGAGCCCGGAGAUAGCUGGUUCUCCCCGAAAUAGCUUUAGGGCUAGCCUCAAGGUGAGAGAUACGGAGGUAGAGCACUGAAUGUCCUAGGGGGUAUUGCACCUACCGAAGACUAUCAAACUCCGAAUGCCGUCAUCUUAUACUUGGGAGUCAGACUGUGGGUGAUAAGAUUCAUAGUCGAAAGGGCAACAGCCCAGAUCGUCAGCUAAGGUCCCUAAAUGUAAGUUAAGUGGUAAAGGAUGUGGGAUUGCACAGACAACCAGGAUGUUGGCUUAGAAGCAGCCACUCAUUCAAAGAGUGCGUAAUAGCUCACUGGUCGAGUGAUCCUGCGCCGAAGAUUUCCGGGGCUAAAACUUACUACCGAAGCUACGGCAUCAGUAAUGAUGGGUAGGGGA